CAUUUGUUGUUUCGAGGUGUUCGGCUGUCGGAGCAGCUUUUUCCGCUUUUUUCAAGCUUCUACUGGACCUUGACAAUAUAUUGUGUGCGCAUAUCUCUUUGCUUGAAUUAAAGAUCUAAACAUGUCAGGAAGAGACGGUGGAAAGAAGAAGCCUUUGAAAGCUCCAAAGAAGCAAAAGGAUGAUAUGGAUGAGGAGGACGUUGCCUUCAAGCAGAAGCAGAGGGAAGCACAAAAAGCUCUCCAGGCAGCGAAAGAAGCUGCUGGUGGCAAGAAAGGACCGUUACUCGGCGGUGGUAUCAAGAAGUCGGGAAAGAAGUGACACAGUGGAGAAAACUCCAUAUUAUUUUUAUAAUUUAACUCAUGGACUAUGUGUUCCUUAAGAAGAAAUGGUUCUUUUGUUUGAAUUAUUUUAUGAUGCAAACCUGAUUUUUUGCAACCUUAUCAUUUGUCAUAAAAAGAAUUUUUGCUUCAGCAUUUCCAUGGAUAUACAUGUAUUAAAAUGGUACAUUAAUGAUCUUCUGUCGUAUUUCUUGAGUUUAAAUAGUGUUGUCAAGAUCUGUGCAAUUGGUUUGGUCUUGAGGGGACAUAUGCCUGUUGGUUUGAAAUAAUCAAAUGGGUAUUGAAUUAUCUCCUUUGCUUUUACAUUUUUAAUAAAUUGUUUGUGCAUCUUAAUAAAAAUCAUGCAAAAUUUAAAAUAAAAGUUGAAUUUUGUUAACAUA
Molecule: long non-coding RNA, 719 nt
Organism: Mya arenaria
Lineage: Eukaryota; Metazoa; Mollusca; Bivalvia; Myida; Myidae
Exons: 4
Source: RefSeq, a predicted model, not a curated record